UACGAAGGGGGCUAGCGUUGUUCGGAUUUACUGGGCGUAAAGCGCACGUAGGCGGGCUUUUAAGUCAGAGGUGAAAUCCCGGGGCUCAACCCCGGAACUGCCUUUGAUACUGGAAGUCUUGAGUAUGGAAGAGGUGAGUGGAAUUCCGAGUGUAGAGGUGAAAUUCGUAGAUAUUCGGAGGAACACCAGUGGCGAAGGCGGCUCACUGGUCCAUUACUGAUGCUGAGGUGCGAAAGCGUGGGGAGCAAACAGG
This 253-nucleotide ribosomal RNA is filed under the name uncultured bacterium. RNAcentral's name for it is "partial 16S ribosomal RNA". It matches the Rfam family "Bacterial small subunit ribosomal RNA", at positions 524 to 776 of the family's 1533-position model. The record is from RNAcentral.